UUUGCUGACGAGCGGCGGACGGGUGAGUAAUGCCUAGGGAUCUGCCCAGUCGAGGGGGAUAACAGUUGGAAACGACUGCUAAUACCGCAUACGCCCUACGGGGGAAAGGAGGGGACCUUCGGGCCUUCCGCGAUUGGAUGAACCUAGGUGGGAUUAGCUAGUUGGUGAGGUAAUGGCUCACCAAGGCGACGAUCCCUAGCUGUUCUGAGAGGAUGAUCAGCCACACUGGGACUGAGACACGGCCCAGACUCCUACGGGAGGCAGCAGUGGGGAAUAUUGCACAAUGGGGGAAACCCUGAUGCAGCCAUGCCGCGUGUGUGAAGAAGGCCUUCGGGUUGUAAAGCACUUUCAGUAGGGAGGAAAGGUGGUGUGUUAAUAGCACAUUGCUGUGACGUUACCUACAGAAGAAGGACCGGCUAACUCCGUGCCAGCAGCCGCGGUAAUACGGAGGGUCCGAGCGUUAAUCGGAAUUACUGGGCGUAAAGCGUGCGCAGGCGGUUUGUUAAGCCAGAUGUGAAAUCCCCGGGCUCAACCUGGGAAUUGCAUUUGGAACUGGCGAACUAGAGUCUUGUAGAGGGGGGUAGAA
RNAcentral lists this ribosomal RNA (586 nucleotides) under bacterium ER-V-8. RNAcentral describes it as "bacterial SSU rRNA". It matches the Rfam family "Bacterial small subunit ribosomal RNA", at positions 84 to 666 of the family's 1533-position model. The record is from RNAcentral.